Molecule: long non-coding RNA, 420 nt
Organism: Gossypium arboreum
Lineage: Eukaryota; Viridiplantae; Streptophyta; Magnoliopsida; Malvales; Malvaceae
Exons: 2
Source: RefSeq, a predicted model, not a curated record
UAACUAACACCCUCUUUCUUAGUCUGGAUCGGCAAAAGUCGAAAAGCCGAAAUGCCGAAAACCGGUAUUUUGUAGAUUUGCGAGUGUGCGAAUGCUCGUGAGGUAAAUCGAUUAAUGUUUUUGGUAAACUGCAAAAUUUGGAUUGCAAAGUGCAUGAUUUCUGUGCCCUCGAUAUUUUUGGGCUUAAUGGGCCAAAAUUGGAAUGAUGGGCCAACGGGCCCAAUUCGGAAAUCUCCAACCAUAGUGGGCUUGGAGCUGUGAGGGAAUUCGAAGUGGCCACCCGUUCUGAAAGUUUGAUUUUCUUCUGGUGAACUGGACAUCCUUUUAAUUACGUUUGAGGUUUUGGGCUUUUAAAUGUAAUAAGGCCGCUUAUUUAUUUUUGAUGGUUUUAAUAUGUAUUACUAAGAUAGGUAUUACUUA